RNAcentral lists this long non-coding RNA (858 nucleotides) under Androctonus crassicauda. The record is from RNAcentral. Lineage: Eukaryota; Metazoa; Arthropoda; Arachnida; Scorpiones; Buthidae.
AUGAUUCUUCGUUGACCCCCAGAUCAGAGGCCAACGAAGAAUCUUAAGUUUUAAAUAUAGGGUAAAAGUACCGAAUAUGAGUCCAUUCCCUUAUAUGAGACCCCAGUCUAUUUGGCCCCAUAGAUGCUGGUAUCUAACGGUAAGCAUUAUAACUUGUAGCAAUCACCAUUUUAGGUAUUCGGAGUGUGUAAGAAGAACCUGCCCAGACCAAGCGUGUUUCUGUUCCUUUUUAAGUGUUUUUCAGCUUUUGGAGUUUUUGAAGCGUAUAGGAUCACGUCGAUAUUCCAUAACAAAGAUAAGAUAUCUUUCUUUAAGUUUAAAACUAUUGGGUAGUGGAAGGAACAAAGAAAUUAGUAAGUAGGCUGAACGUCAUUGUAUGCUUAAUCUAGCCUGAUACAAGGUGGCUUUUCUUGUAGUAUCUAAAGUGCCUAAUACGAGACCCUCAAUGGAUCCUAAUAUGAUACAGGGUCUCAUAUUCGGAUCGCAUUUAUUUUAAUUUAUGGUUGUUUUAGAAAUUGAAAAAUAAAACCUAAAAUGAUAUGUUCACAAAUUGCAUUUAUUAAAAAAACCCAAAUUAUGUUAAUUUAUGUAAUAAGGCUGACUUUUCUACAUUGGUUCUUCCUGAAUAUUGUUCACAUAGAUAUUUCCACCACAAAGAAGAUGGAAGACGUGGGAUACUGUUCUGAUGAUUCGUGCAGUUCAGUUAGUACGAAGCGGAGAAAUGGGCUACAAGAGAGCAGCAAAACAUUUGCAGGUACCUAAGGGAAUGCUUGAGAAUUAUGUUAAAGACACCACUAAAUCUCCAGAUUCUCUAGUCCUAGUAAACCUAGGCAGAAAGCCAGAACUGGAAAAUAUGCU